Molecule: long non-coding RNA, 1611 nt
Organism: Catharus ustulatus (Swainson's thrush)
Lineage: Eukaryota; Metazoa; Chordata; Aves; Passeriformes; Turdidae
Source: Ensembl
GAAAGGUGAAGACUUGUUCCUUUUGAAGCAGAAGGGUCUCUCAUUAAAGAGACAAAAUAUUGUCCAUUAAUUAUUCAACUAAACUUUGUUAUAUGUGUGUUUGGUUUGUUGAAAGGCAGUCUGUGCUUUCAAAGAGUAUUCAGGCAAGUGUAAUGAGAGGUGAUGGAAGGAAAGUGAAAAGUGGAAUGAUGGAGGAGAUGCAUCAGAAGCAUCCCACAGGAGAAAGUAUUUUCACUAUGGAAGUGCUGCCACCCCCUGCCCCAUGUAAGUGCUGAGGGAAGCAAGCACUAGCAAAAUAAUUUUUUGCUAGCAGGUCAUGGUCUGGGCUAUCAAGAAUUUCUUUUACUCAUCUCACCCUAUGAAUUAUUUAAGUGGACUUUGUACAGGUGAUACCACUGUCACACAAGCAGUUAAUUUAAUCCCACUGUGAUGAGACAGCAGCCAGUGCCAGGCACAGUGUGGCCACUGUCUGUCCCCAGUGACGACACUGGGCACUUGCACUCUGACCUCUGAGGGCAUCCAAUGAGCCAGGAGCAGCUGCUGCCAAGUGUUGCAUCAAUCUCACCUUACAAGUGACCAACAAAGUGCUGAAACCCACUUUUUUUCCCUUGUAACAGCAAAACUUCCUUACCGCGUAAAACUGCAGUUAAGCUUUAUUGAGUGAUUUGUUCUGAUAGAGCUCACAGCCUUUGCUCAUAGCUCCCCCAGUUAUGUCCUAGCCAAGGGCUGAAGGGCAUGCAGGGCCUGAUUUUUCAAAGGUGUUUGUCUGGGAUGAAGGAGAGGAAGCAGUGGCUCUUUACAGAAUAUCCCAAACAGCAUUCCACUAAUUUAAAUGCAAAUCAGUUCUGAAUCUGCAGGAUAUCAUGAGACUCCACAGCAGUCCCAGUAUUUAAGGAUGGUUUCAGGUGUUCCAGACAACAGUAGAAGCAUGACACUUCACCUGGAUGUGACCUCAAGAUUGAGAAAGUGGAAGCAAACACACUGGGACAGGCCACUCAGGAUGCAGUCAACCAGAUUACAGAUGCAAGCCAGAAAGCUUUUGACAAGGCUUCCAAGACAGCACAAGAUGGAGUAGAAAAAGUGACCGGUCAGGCUGCAGAAGCAAUGUCUGGCUUUGGGAAAAAAUGUGGAUUUAAAAAAUGAUGCUUUUUUUUAAUUUAAAAAAUAAUUCAAGUCUGCCUGUAUAAAUCUCUCUUUGAUCUGCUAUUACUUACUUCUUUGUGUAGAAAAAUGAAAGCUGUUUGAUACCUGGAUAAUUUUGUUCUUCUCAAAUACAAGCUUUUGAGGCAGAAGGUCCCCCUCAUCCCUUACAUAGAAAAAUGUAAUCUUUUAGCACGUCUGCUCACAAUCAUCAACAUGGCUCAAAAGGUUUCAGCAAUACUAUUGCCCUGCUCUUACAACAGCUCUGUGAUUAUUGCCACAUUUGCUGAGUGUUAUUUACAAAGUCAGUGAAACUGUUCAUAAUUAGGACACCGGAACAGUCAUGUGAUGAAACUGAGUCUUCUUCCAAUCAUCAAAAAUUAGCUGGGGUUACAUUUCUUGUCAGUUGUUUGUUUGUUUCCAUCCUCUACAUUUUUAGAUUAAGAUAAAUAAAAGUACUGUAAGAUUUCC